GACGAAUUGACCCCUGGUACGUAUACUCAACGCGUUGAUGUAUGAAAUAGUAUAAUUAGGCAAGUGAAAGAAAAAUCUAAAUGAAUAUAACAACGACAUGGUAAAGGAGUUUUAAAAAUGUAACACGUGCCGAAACUUAAUUCUUCGGGCAUAAUGUGGCGAUUACGCGAAGACACGAAACUAGUACGUGGAUUGUGUACCUGGCCACUACACAAGAAACGUAUGACGUUCAUGAGACCGCGAUAAUUGUUACAUGUAUGUCCACUCUCGGGAGAUUGAGAGUACUACGUAAGAGUACAAAAUGCAAGUGAUAAGAAUAAAAUGUUGAAUCCGUAAGAAGUACGGACCAACAAUGUAUGAAU
RNAcentral lists this long non-coding RNA (362 nucleotides) under Helianthus annuus (common sunflower). RNAcentral describes it as "sRNA HanXRQr2_Chr04g0178231". Lineage: Eukaryota; Viridiplantae; Streptophyta; Magnoliopsida; Asterales; Asteraceae. The record is from RNAcentral.